AUUGAACGCUGGCGGCAGGCCUAACACAUGCAAGUCGAGCGGAUGAAGGGAGCUUGCUCCUGGAUUCAGCGGCGGACGGGUGAGUAAUGCCUAGGAAUCUGCCUGGUAGUGGGGGAUAACGUCCGGAAACGGGCGCUAAUACCGCAUACGUCCUGAGGGUGAAAGUGGGGGAUCUUCGGACCUCACGCUAUCAGAUGAGCCUAGGUCGGAUUAGCUAGUUGGUGGGGUAAAGGCCUACCAAGGCGACGAUCCGUAACUGGUCUGAGAGGAUGAUCAGUCACACUGGAACUGAGACACGGUACAGAAUCCUACGGGAGGCAGCAGUGGGGAAUAUUGGACAAUGGGCGAAAGCCUGAUACAGACAUGCCGCGUGUGUGAAGAAGGUCUUCGGAUUGUAAAGCACUUUAAGUUGGGAGGAAGGGAAGUAAGUUAAUACCUUGCUGUUUUGACGUUACCAAAAGAAUAAGCACCGGCUAACUUCGUG
This 484-nucleotide ribosomal RNA is filed under the name uncultured bacterium. Its description in RNAcentral is "partial 16S ribosomal RNA". It matches the Rfam family "Bacterial small subunit ribosomal RNA", at positions 30 to 507 of the family's 1533-position model. The record is from RNAcentral.